This is a non-coding RNA of Podarcis lilfordi (Lilford's wall lizard), 137 nucleotides long. The record is from the annotation of a GenBank genome assembly. NCBI's taxonomy places the organism in Eukaryota, Metazoa, Chordata, Lepidosauria, Squamata, Lacertidae.
ACCUUUCAACGGUGCCUCAUCUCCAUCCAGUGUAAUGCCAUUGCAAGAAGGUCUUGGGGGUUAAGAAACAAGAAGGGAUUCACCGACCUCCUUGCAAUGGCAUUACACUGGAUGGAGUCGAGGCACCAUUGCAAGGU